This 388-nucleotide transfer-messenger RNA is filed under the name Minisyncoccota bacterium. It matches the Rfam family "transfer-messenger RNA". Rfam says of the family: Bacterial tmRNA, also known as 10Sa RNA or SsrA, is named for its dual tRNA and mRNA-like properties. Its role is to liberate the mRNA from a stalled ribosome. To accomplish this part of the tmRNA is used as a reading frame that ends in a translation stop signal. RNAcentral also lists the same sequence under 1 other name. Lineage: Bacteria; Bacillati; Minisyncoccota. The record is from RNAcentral.
GGGACUGACGGGCUUCGACAAGAGGAAUCGUCAUACAUGUGCGCGUAGAGUACUCAGGAAUCUCUUUAAACUUCUUGGAAAAGACUAAGUGCAAACAAAGUCGCUUCAGUAAAAUCUCCAUACGCUGGAAAUUUUGCUUUCUCAUUCGCUUAAUUAUUUAAGCCGGUGAGGUGUCCUCCCUAUCGACAUCCGAUACAUAGGGCGGGCAUAAUCAAUCGGGUUACGAGAUACAGACAGCUUGCCUAUAUCUUCGACAAUUAAAAGCUCGGUGUAUAUGUGUUUUGCUGGUUCUCUAGCAUAUACAUUUAAAUCCAAUGAAUCUGCUACACGCGUAGAUUCCUGUAUGGUCUUCUUUUGCACCUGGGUUCAACUCCCAGCAGUUCCACCA